Molecule: long non-coding RNA, 883 nt
Organism: Nothobranchius furzeri (turquoise killifish)
Lineage: Eukaryota; Metazoa; Chordata; Actinopteri; Cyprinodontiformes; Nothobranchiidae
Source: RefSeq, a predicted model, not a curated record
GAAAACUCCAUAUUAAAAUAAAAGGAAUGAUAGUCAGCUCGUGCAAAAAUCUGUGAAGGCUGGGGAGACAUGUUUAGCUUGUGAUCACUAAUUUUUGGGCUUUGUUUUUUACAGUCAUCAGUCCAAAUAUGAAGCAUCAACAUCUACACCACUGAAGCGCCAACUGUGUAUUUCUCCAACACCAGUGCCAGCUCUGUCUAGCAUUCAUGGAGAAUCAUCUGAAAGGGAUGAUAAUUUGGAGGAGGUGAUGGAACAAGGUGAAACUAAAAAAGAAGGAUCUUCACAAAUGAUAGAGUCAUCAGAUGACACAUGGUCACCAAACAGAGAACCAGAAGUUGAUUCGUCUUCAGAGGAGGGCGAAACCAUCGAGAUGGACAGCGGUACUGAUGACAGCGGUGAUGAGGACUACACACCUUAUUUACACAUAAGGUAAUUCUUUUUGUUUAACAUUCUAUAAAACUGCAAUAGCGCAUAGUUAAUAAAAAGCUUUUGUUCACAGGACUGGAGCAGCAUUACAAAAAACAUUACAACUUGAGACUCUGCAAGAAAUUAACAUAGAGGAUACAGUUCAUGACUGUAAUAUCCCAGAAGCAACUGACCGACGUUUGACAAGCAAGAAAGGUCUUCCUCAACGCUACAAGCUAAGGCCUGAGGAUCCAAGGCGUUAUGGUUUGCUGUCCGGAGUUCCUGCACCAUCAACAGAGGAACUUCUACAACACCUACGGACUUGCGGUGAUGGUAAAACUUUGCCACAGACAUAGGUGUUGGGGGAGGCAAGAGAAAACCCAAAACCUUCUUUAUUUUUGUUUCCUGUGUUUUUUUAUUUUUUAUUUUUUUGAAAAUAAAGAUAUAUUUUGGGGAAAUAAGGACUAAUAAUUUAAAA